CCUACGGGCGGCAGCAGUGGGGAAUAUUGCACAAUGGGGGGAACCCUGAUGCAGCGACGCCGCGUGGGUGAAGGAGUAUUUCGGUAUGUAAAGCCCUAUCAGCAGGGAAGAACAAUGACGGUACCUGACUAAGAAGCACCGGCGAAAUACGUGCCAGCAGCCGCGGUAAUCCGUAUGGUGCAAGCGUUUUCCGGAUUUACUGGGUGUACAGGGAGCGCAGGCGGGGCGUUAAGCCGGGUGUGGAAGUCCGCGGGCCAACCGCGGGACUGCAUUGGGAACUGGCGCGCUGGGGUGCCUGAGGGGUAGGCGGAAUGCCUAGUGUAGCGGGGAAAUGCGUAGAUAUUAGGAGGAACACCAGUGGCGAAGGCGGCCUACUGGACGGUGACUGACGCUGAGGCUCGAAAGCGUUGGGAGCAAACAGGAUUAGAUACCCCAGUAGUCC
This 442-nucleotide ribosomal RNA is filed under the name uncultured bacterium. RNAcentral's name for it is "partial 16S ribosomal RNA". It matches the Rfam family "Bacterial small subunit ribosomal RNA", at positions 338 to 796 of the family's 1533-position model. The record is from RNAcentral.